RNAcentral lists this ribosomal RNA (248 nucleotides) under Klebsiella oxytoca. Its description in RNAcentral is "partial 23S ribosomal RNA". It matches the Rfam family "Bacterial large subunit ribosomal RNA", at positions 231 to 517 of the family's 2925-position model. The record is from RNAcentral. Lineage: Bacteria; Pseudomonadati; Pseudomonadota; Gammaproteobacteria; Enterobacterales; Enterobacteriaceae. RNAcentral also lists the same sequence under 2 other names.
GAGAUUCCCCCAGUAGCGGCGAGCGAACGGGGAGCAGCCCGGAGUCUGAAUCAGCUUGUGUGUUAGUGGAAGCGUCUGGAAAGUCGCAGGGUACAGGGUGAUACUCCCGUACACUAAAGCACACAGGCUGUGAACUCGAAGAGUAGGGCGGGACACGUGGUAUCCUGUCUGAAUAUGGGGGGACCAUCCUCCAAGGCUAAAUACUCCUGACUGACCGAUAGUGAACCAGUACCGUGAGGGAAAGGCGA